This 483-nucleotide ribosomal RNA is filed under the name uncultured bacterium. RNAcentral describes it as "bacterial SSU rRNA". It matches the Rfam family "Bacterial small subunit ribosomal RNA", at positions 26 to 507 of the family's 1533-position model. The record is from RNAcentral.
AGGAUGAACGCUGGCGGCGUGCUUAACACAUGCAAGUCGAACGAAGCACCUUAAUUGAUUUCUUCGGAAUGAAGUUAUUGUGACUGAGUGGCGGACGGGUGAGUAACGCGUGGGUAACCUGCCUCACACAGGGGGACAACAGUUGGAAACGGCUGCUAAUACCGCAUAAGCGCACAGUGCCGCAUGGUACGGUGUGAAAAACUCCGGUGGUGUGAGAUGGACCCGCGUCUGAUUAGCUAGUUGGCAGGGCAACGGCCUACCAAGGCGACGAUCAGUAGCCGACCUGAGAGGGUGACCGGCCACAUUGGGACUGAGACACGGCCCAAACUCCUACGGGAGGCGGCAGUGGGGAAUAUUGCACAAUGGGGGAAACCCUGAUGCAGCGACGCCGCGUGAGCGAAGAAGUAUUUCGGUAUGUAAAGCUCUAUCAGCAGGGAAGAAGAAAUGACGGUACCUGACUAAGAAGCACCGGCUAAAUACGUG